Molecule: non-coding RNA, 1616 nt
Organism: Thamnophis sirtalis
Lineage: Eukaryota; Metazoa; Chordata; Lepidosauria; Squamata; Natricidae
Source: RefSeq, a predicted model, not a curated record
AAUUUCAUGAAGAAAAUCAAAAUAAAACUGGGUAAAGAGAGAUUGAGGAAAGCUGCGUGAACUCGAAAACACAGCAAUUGGAAGUUCAAAGCGGCCGUAGCUACUGAUCUUGUGUUUUUUUUCAUUCUACCUGCAGCAAAAUGGGAGUUUAGAAGAUCAACGGUGUUUUUAAAGGGAAUUUUUAAAAACUCUUGGUUUUUUUGCAGAUCAUCGGGUAUCAGCCUGGCUACGGCACUCCAGUUAAUGUGAGUUGCAAAAUCCAGAAAGGCGAACCAAGUCACCUCCAGUCACUGGACUUUUUCCCAAGCGAGACAUUUGAUCCCAUGUAUUUCCCUUAUUAUGGCAAACUUACGCACGUGAACUACACACAACCUUUGGUAGCCAUUCAUUUCACAGGAAUUACGAGAAACCAGACCUUGAACCUUCAAUGCCAGCUGAAUGGCAAAGGGAUUAUCAACACCGUUAACAACGAUCGUUUUUUGGGGCGAAUCAUUUUCACACUAACCGUCAACAGCUAAGGCCAGAUCUCCCUGUCUGUGACGACCCUAUUAUGGCAAUCCAACGUUCCUCGUUGCGGGAAGGGGGGGAAAACAAUAAUCCAAUUGGCCAUCGACGUAGCAGCAGGAAACUCCAGGCCUAUUUCGAGGGAUGGUGUUUGGUAUUCUUUGGAAAAACAAAUAAACAAAAAUAAAAAUAAAAAAAGAUAGCUCCCAAGAUAAGUCUACGGAACUCAACAUCAAGCAAUCAAAACAUUCACCCUGCAAAUAAACCCACCAGCCCAACAAGAAUUUGGUUUAAAAAAUGCAUUUUAAAUUAAAAAACAACAACAACAGCGUUUUAGAUCUUUUUCCCAGGGUGCAUCGGAAGGGAUGGUAUUUGGCAUCAAAGGGAGAGUCUUGCCAUAACAACACAAAUAAUUGGUUUUUGUCCCCUCCUUUCCAUUAUUUUUUUUAUCUCCCUUUGGGGAAAAAGAUCCCUUCACUGUCAGUACUGUAUUUCGUGGGCCGGUAUGGGAUAGGUAUGGAAGGAGUAAGUUUGCAACGUUUGAAAUGGAUAUUCAUAAAUCCAUUACUGAAAAGGGUCACUCAAAACCUGUGUGAUUUAACCACCGUAGAAGUCACGGCAAGCCACAAAUGUUUAGUUGGCCUUAAGCAUAAUCUUUGGCCCCAUCCCACCCCCUAGUUAUUUCUGUCUUAUUGCUUUUCCGGCUCAAUAUAGCGACAGUGAUGUCCUCCUAGGCAGCGUAGGCCUUUUCAAUCAAGAUAGGUAUUUCCCUUAAAUAGAGGGAAUGUGGGUUCUUUUUUUUCCCCCUGUUCACCAGCCUUGAAUGCCUAAAUCAGGUUUGCAAAGUGAAGACGAGAGAGGGAUAUCUAGGGAGGGGCCUCGUUCUUCCUCCGUCUUGACCAUCUCAAGAUGUUUGCUUGGAAGCCUUCACCCUCCACGCCGUUUUAUUCCCACGGGGAACAGGACCUCCGCGGAAGGCCCACCACCACACCAUUGCGACAUCAGAAACCGGGACUUCCGUUGGUCACGAAGCUUCAUGUUCUUGGGACAGGGCGGUUAAGACAUCUGGGUGAACCAGGAGAAACAGCAUGGCACGGACUGAUUUCUCGUUU